Molecule: ribosomal RNA, 401 nt
Filed under: Variovorax paradoxus
Lineage: Bacteria; Pseudomonadati; Pseudomonadota; Betaproteobacteria; Burkholderiales; Comamonadaceae
Description: bacterial SSU rRNA
Rfam family: Bacterial small subunit ribosomal RNA
Source: RNAcentral
GGAAUCCAGCCAUGCCGCGUCCAGGAUGAAGGCCUUCGGGUAGUAAACUGUUUUUGUACGGAACGAAACGGCCUUUUCUAAUAAAGAGGGCUAUUGACGGUACCGUAAGAAUAAGCACCGGCUAACUACGUGCCAGCAGCCGCGGUAAUACGUAGGGUGCAAGCGUUAAUCGGAAUUACUGGGCGUAAAGCGUGCGCAGGCGGUUAUGUAAGACAGUUGUGAAAUCCCCGGGCUCAACCUGGGAACUGCAUCUGUGACUGCAUAGCUAGAGUACGGUAGAGGGGGAUGGAAUUCCGCGUGUAGCAGUGAAAUGCGUAGAUAUGCGGAGGAACACCGAUGGCGAAGGCAAUCCCCUGGACCUGUACUGACGCUCAUGCACGAAAGCGUGGGGAGCAAACAGG